AAAAAGAUAGACUAAAAUUUUUAAGUCAUUAGACUCAUAAUCUUAAAAUAUAAUGUAUUUAUUCUUUUUA
RNAcentral lists this transfer RNA (70 nucleotides) under Trichomalopsis sarcophagae. RNAcentral's name for it is "tRNA-Met". Lineage: Eukaryota; Metazoa; Arthropoda; Insecta; Hymenoptera; Pteromalidae. The record is from RNAcentral.